This 2754-nucleotide ribosomal RNA is filed under the name human gut metagenome. Its description in RNAcentral is "bacterial LSU rRNA". It matches the Rfam family "Bacterial large subunit ribosomal RNA". The record is from RNAcentral.
AGAGCACAAGGGGAAUGCCUUGGCACCGAGAGCCGAAGAAGGACGUGACUAACUGCGAUAAGCUACGGGGAGCUGUAAGUGAGCGUUAUAUCCGUAGAUUUCCGAAUGGAGCAAUCCGAUUAGAGGAAAGUCUAAUCAUCAUAUACUGAAUACAUAGGUAUAUGAGGGGAACCGCCUGAACUGAAACAUCUAAGUAGGGCGAGGAAGAGAAAUCAACAGAGAUUCCGUAAGUAGUGGCGAGCGAACGCGGAAGAGGCCAAACCUAAUAUAGUAAUAUGUUAGGGGUUCGGACAGUAUAAUGAAUUGUCGAAAUUUAGCCGAAUGUCAUGGGAAGGGCAAUCAAAGAAGGUGAAAAUCCUGUAGGCGAAAAGUUAAGACAUCAGACUGUAUCCAGAGUACCGCCGGACACGUGAAACCCGGUGGGAAUACGGGGGGACCAUCCUCCAAGCCUAAAUACUACUCGGUGACCGAUAGAGAAGAAGUACUGUGAAGGAAAGGUGAAAAGCACCCCGGAAGGGGAGUGAAAGAGAACCUGAAACCUUGUGUUUACAAGCACCGAAAGUUCAUCAACGAACGAUCGGGUACCUUUUGUAGAAUGGUCCGGCGAGUGAAUGUAACUGGCAAGGUUAAGCACUUAAGGUGUGGAGCCGAAGCGAAAGCAAGUCUUAAUAGGGCGUCAAGUCAGUUGUAUUCGACCCGAAACCGUGUGACCUAGCCAUGAGCAGGCUGAAGUGGAGGUAAAACUCCAUGGAGGGCCGAACCCACUCCCGUUGAAAUGGUAGGGGAUGACUUGUGGCUAGCGGAGAAAUUCCAAUCGAACUCGGAGAUAGCUGGUUCUCUCCGAAAUAGCUUUAGGGCUAGCCUCGAUUUAACAUUACCGGAGGUAAAGCACUGAAUGGGCUAGGGGCCGAGAGGUUACUGAACCCUAUCAAACUAAGAAUGCCAGAUAAUUGUUUUCCGGGAGUCAGACGGCGUGAGAUAAGUUUCGUCGUCAAAAGGGAAAGAGCCCAGACCCACAGCUAAGGUCCCAAAGUAUAGUUAAGUGGAAAAGGAUGUGGGGUUGCCCAGACAACCAGGAUGUUGGCUUAGAAGCAGCCACUCAUUAAAAGAGUGCGUAAUAGCUCACUGGUCGAGUGACCCUGCGCCGAAAAUUCAACGGGGCUAAAUUAUACACCGAAGCUUGGGAUACCGCAAGGUAUGGUAGGAGAGCGUUCUGUAAGGAGUGAAGUGAGAGCGAAAGCGUUCGUGGACUUUACAGAAGUGAGAAUGCCGGAAUGAGUAGCGAGAAAUAUGUGAGAAUCAUAUUGGCCGAAAGUCUAAGGUUUUUGGAGGAAGGUUCGUCCGCUCCAAGUAAGUCGGGAGCUAAGGUGAGGCCUAACGGCGUAGCCGAUGCACAUACGGUAGAUAUUCCGUAACCACCGAAAGAUUUAAACACAGGGACACCUUGAAAGGGCAUAUCCCGGGAGUUGGUUUACCCGGGCGUAAGGGAUCGAAAUUUGAGUAGAGAAGUAUGUUUGGACGAGGGCGAGAAAAGCUGUGUGUAUAUUUUAGGUGCCCGUACCGCAAACCGACACAGGUGGACAGGAAGAGGAUUCUAAGGCCAACGGGAGAAGGGUAAUUAAGGAACUCGGCAAAUUGACCCCGUAACUUAGGGAUAAGGGGUGCUCAUAGAAAUAUGAGCCGCAGAGAAUAGGCCCAGGCAACUGUUUAUCAAAAACACAGGUCUCUGCCAAAUCGAAAGAUGAAGUAUAGGGGCUGACACCUGCCCGGUGCUGGAAGGUUAAGAGGAGGAGUGAGAGCUCCGAAUUGAAGCCCCAGUAAACGGCGGCCGUAACUAUAACGGUCCUAAGGUAGCGAAAUUCCUUGUCGGGUAAGUUCCGACCCGCACGAAUGGCGUAACGACUUGGGCACUGUCUCAACAUGGGACCCGGCGAAAUUGUAGUAUGUGUGAAGAUGCACAUUACCCGCGAUAGGACGGAAAGACCCCGUAGAGCUUUACUGUAGUUUAACAUUGGAUUUCGGUAACAUAUGUACAGGAUAGGUGGGAGGCGAAGAACCAGGGACGCCAGUUUCUGGGGAGCCGACCUUGGGAUACCACUCUUGUGUUAUUGGAGUUCUAACGAAUUGCCGUGAACCGGGAUUCGGACAGUGUUAGAUGGGCAGUUUGACUGGGGCGGUCGCCUCCUAAAGAGUAACGGAGGCGUCCAAAGGUUCCCUCAGAAUGGUUGGAAACCAUUCGCAGAGUGUAAAGGCAGAAGGGAGCUUGACUGCGAGACCGACAGGUCGAGCAGGUGCGAAAGCAGGGCUUAGUGAUCCGGCGGUAUGAGAGUGGAAUUGCCGUCGCUCAACGGAUAAAAGCUACCUCGGGGAUAACAGGCUUAUCUCCCCCAAGAGUCCACAUCGACGGGGAGGUUUGGCACCUCGAUGUCGGCUCGUCGCAUCCUGGAGCGGUAGUACGUUCCAAGGGUUGGGCUGUUCGCCCAUUAAAGCGGCACGCGAGCUGGGUUCAGAACGUCGUGAGACAGUUCGGUCCAUAUCCGGUAUACGCGCAAGAGAUUUGAACGGAGUCUUCCUUAGUACGAGAGGACCGGGAAGAGGGGACCUCCAGUGUACGGGUUAUCGCGCCAGCGGUAAACGCCCGGUAGCUGUGUUCCAAGCGGAUAAGUGCUGAAAGCAUAUAAGUACGAAGCCCACCGUAAGAUGAGAUCUCUCAUAGCAUAAGCUAGUAAGUUCCCAGACAGAUCAUCUGGUUGA